Molecule: transfer RNA, 64 nt
Filed under: Urochela rubra
Lineage: Eukaryota; Metazoa; Arthropoda; Insecta; Hemiptera; Urostylididae
Description: tRNA-Trp
Source: RNAcentral
AAAGUUUUAAGUUAAAAAAACUAUUAACCUUCAAAGUUAAAUAUAUAUUUAAAUAUAGACUUUA